This 250-nucleotide non-coding RNA is filed under the name Clostridium puniceum. RNAcentral describes it as "Glycine sequence". It matches the Rfam family "Glycine riboswitch aptamer". Rfam says of the family: This family represents the bacterial glycine riboswitch. Lineage: Bacteria; Bacillati; Bacillota; Clostridia; Eubacteriales; Clostridiaceae. The record is from RNAcentral.
GGACGAGCCUCUGGAGAGACUCAUUUUGUAAUGAGCACCGAAGGAGCAAGGCGAUUUCAAUUAACAAUCUACAAUUAAUAAUUGAGAAAUAAGAGUAUAAAGAAAGUUUGAAUAACAAAAUCAUAGAUUUUAUUAUUACUUUCUAUAGGAUUUCUAAUGAAAUAUAAUUAAGAAAUGUCUAUAACACCCUCAAUUGUAAUUUGUGAAUUGAUUUGCUGAAACUCUCAGGUAAAAGGACAGGGGAAGGAAC